AACUUAAAUAAUUUAAGAAAAAAAUAUUGAUUUGUGGAGUCAAAUAUAUGGGUUUCCAUUUUAAGU
Molecule: transfer RNA, 66 nt
Filed under: Pieris rapae (cabbage white)
Lineage: Eukaryota; Metazoa; Arthropoda; Insecta; Lepidoptera; Pieridae
Description: tRNA-His
Rfam family: tRNA
About the family: Transfer RNA (tRNA) molecules are approximately 80 nucleotides in length. Their secondary structure includes four short double-helical elements and three loops (D, anti-codon, and T loops).
Source: RNAcentral